Molecule: non-coding RNA, 548 nt
Organism: Pelobates cultripes (western spadefoot toad)
Lineage: Eukaryota; Metazoa; Chordata; Amphibia; Anura; Pelobatidae
Source: the annotation of a GenBank genome assembly
CAUCUUUUCAGAUCGGAUUCAAUGCCGUGCAGUAGGGUUGUGAAGUUGCGUUGGUAUAUGUCUUGUGGGUUUGUGGUGAUCCAUAUGCCGAGGUAUUUCAUUGCUCCCGUACACCAUCGAAAUGGGAAGAGUGGGCCGAGGGAUACGUAGUCCGCUACGGGUAUGGUGAGAUUUAGUGCCUCACAUUUUGCUAGAUUGAGUUUAAACCCAGAGAUUCGGCCGAAUCUAUCCAUCUCAGAUAGUAUACAUGGCAGUGUGAUCCGAGGCUGGGAGACAAAGAACAAAAGAUCGUCCGAAUAAGCAGCCACCUUAUGUUCCGUGUCCUGCCAGGUGUAACCGUGUAUGUCCUGACGAUCUCGAAUCGCUUGCAGAAGUGGCUCCAGAGAGAGUGCGAAAAGAAGCGGAGAUAAGGGGCAGCCCUGCCUGGUUCCAUUCGCAAUUCCAAAACUCGUGGUCAGCGCUCCAUUGACGCGUACCGUCGCCCUUGGUGUGCUGUAUAGUGCAGUAAUCCACGCCAUGGUUCUCUGGCCAAGACCUAUAAACCGGAG